UGAGUAACCUGCCCUUAACUCUGGGAUAAGCCUGGGGAAACUGGGUCUAAUACCGGAUAUGACUCCUCAUCGCAUGGGUGGGGGGUGGAAAGCUUUAUUGUGGUUUUGGAUGGACUCGCGGCCUAUCAGCUUGUUGGUGAGGUAAUGGCUCACCAAGGCGACGACGGGUAGCCGGCCUGAGGAGGGUGACCGGCCACACUGGGACUGCGACACGGCCCAGACCUCCGACGGGGAGCAG
This 238-nucleotide ribosomal RNA is filed under the name uncultured bacterium. Its description in RNAcentral is "partial 16S ribosomal RNA". It matches the Rfam family "Bacterial small subunit ribosomal RNA", at positions 118 to 351 of the family's 1533-position model. The record is from RNAcentral.